CCAGCGAACAGUUAACAUCACGUUCGCGGUGCUCUCAAAAGACGGUAGAGAGUAUUUGUGGACCGGCCAACUGAUCUCAUUUGUCUCAGCUAGAAGACACUCGCUAGGAUGAUAGCUUCAAGAACGAAUCACAGUUACGAUUGCCUACCUGGAUUGGAUGGGUCUAACAGCAGGCCUAGACCUAUAACAGCUGUACAGAAAUAAGGGAUCAUUACCAAAAAUCAAAAGAACACAGCAACCGGUUUUUUGACAGCGAAGCAAGAAUGAAAACUUCUACAGAUAUAACUAACAACAGGCCAAAACCAUUGUUUCCGACACCCAGCUGCUAAAAAUGAAAAUCGCGAUUUAUUAUAUUAAUAAAUCUAAUGUAAAUAUCAUGUUUCUUUCUUCGGUAGUUUAAAAUGGGAUUUUCAACACAACCCCUACUACGUUUUAGUUAGGCAAACAAACUAACUUUUUGUAUUUUUUUACAUAGUACCUGAAAUAAGUUUGCCUUCCGUACGGGGUUGUUUGAAAUCCUACUUGUUACACUACUACUCCUAUCUUUUUGUUACACUUUAUAUCUAUAAUGACUAUUUUGUGACUAUUCAAAAUAUACUUGUAUAUUCAUUUUAUACCUCGUCAGGUAAACCAAUUAUGUUUUCUUUUAUUUACAUUGUGUUGCAAGCGAAUUACAGUUGUUACUAUUGCUGUUAAUUAUAAGGUAACGAUUUAACAGCUUUA
Long non-coding RNA from Adelges cooleyi (spruce gall adelgid), 723 nucleotides. RefSeq lists it as uncharacterized. The record is from RefSeq and is a predicted model, not a curated record. Lineage: Eukaryota; Metazoa; Arthropoda; Insecta; Hemiptera; Adelgidae. The transcript has 3 exons.